GAUAAACGCUAGCGGCAGGCUUAACACAUGCAAGUCGAGGGGCAGCAUAGAUUGUAGCGAUACAAUUGGUGGCGACCGGCGCACGGGUGCGUAACGCGUAUGCACCCUACCCGUCACAGGGGAUAAACCGGAGAAAUCUGGUCUAAUACCCCAUAACAUAUGGAUCGGCAUCGUUUAAUGUUGAAAGAUCCGGCGGAUAGAGAUGGGCACGGGCAAGAUUAGCUAGUUGGUGAGGUAACGGCACACGAAGGCGAUGAUCUUUAGGGGGCCUGAGAGGGUGAUCCCCCACACUGGUACUGAGACACGGACCAGACUCCUACGGGAGGCAGCAGUGAGGAAUAUUGGUCAAUGGGUGCAAGCCUGAACCAGCCAUCCCGCGUGAAGGACCACUGCCCUAUGGGUUGUAAACUUCUUUUGUAUAGGGAUAAACCUACCCUCGUGAGGGUAGCUGAAGGUACUAUACGAAUAAGCACCGGCUAACUCCGUGCCAGCAGCCGCCGUAA
Molecule: ribosomal RNA, 503 nt
Filed under: uncultured bacterium
Lineage: Bacteria
Description: partial 16S ribosomal RNA
Rfam family: Bacterial small subunit ribosomal RNA
Source: RNAcentral